This 502-nucleotide ribosomal RNA is filed under the name uncultured bacterium. RNAcentral's name for it is "partial 16S ribosomal RNA". It matches the Rfam family "Bacterial small subunit ribosomal RNA", at positions 29 to 523 of the family's 1533-position model. The record is from RNAcentral.
AUUGAACGCUGGCGGCAUGCCUUACACAUGCAAGUCGAACGGCAGCAUGGGUGCUUGCACCUGAUGGCGAGUGGCGAACGGGUGAGUAAUGCAUCGGAACGUACCCGGAAGUGGGGGACAACGUAGCGAAAGUUACGCUAAUACAGCAUAUUCUGUGAGCAGGAAAGCGGGGGAUCGCAAGACCACAGGCUUCCGGCACGGCCGAUGUCGGAUUAGCUGGUUGGCGGGGUAAAGGCCCACCAAGGCCACGAUCCGUAGCGGGUCUGAGAGGAUGAUCCGCCACACUGGGACUGAGACACGGCCCCGCCUCCUACGGGAGGCAGCAGUGGGGAAUUUUGGACAAUGGGGGCAACCCUGAUCCAGCCAUGCCGCGUGAGUGAAGAAGGCCUUCGGGUUGUAAAGCUCUUUCGGCUGGGAAGAAAUCGCAUCUCCUAAUACGGGGUGUGGAUGACGGUACCAGCAUAAGAAGCACCGGCUAACUACGUGCCAGCCGCCGCGGUAA